This is a long non-coding RNA of Oncorhynchus keta (chum salmon), 1638 nucleotides long. RefSeq lists it as uncharacterized. The transcript has 3 exons. NCBI's taxonomy places the organism in Eukaryota, Metazoa, Chordata, Actinopteri, Salmoniformes, Salmonidae. The record is from RefSeq and is a predicted model, not a curated record.
GGGUAAAAUUAGGGUUAGGGAAAAUAGGAUUUUGUGUGCCCACAAGGUUAUUUAAACAGGACUGUGUGUGCCCACAAGGUUAUUUAAACAGGACUGUGUGUGCCCACAAGGUUAUUUAAACAGGACUGUGUGUGCCCACAAGGUUAUUUAAACAGGACUGUGUGUGCCCACAAGGUUAUUUAAACAGGACUGUGUGUGCCCACAAGGUUAUUUAAACAGGACUGUGUGUGCCCACAAGGUUAUUUAAACAGGACUGUGUGUGCCCACAAGGUUAUUUAAACAGGACUGUGUGUGCCCACAAGGUUAUUUAAACAGGACUGUGUGUGCCCACAAGGUUAUUUAAACAGGACUGUGUGUGCCCACAAGGUUAUUUAAACAGGACUGUGUGUGCCCACAAGGUUAUUUAAACAGGACUGUGUGUGCCCACAAGGUUAUUUAAACAGGACUGUGUGUGCCCACAAGGUUAUUUAAACAGGACUGUGUGUGCCCACAAGGUUAUUUAAACAGGACUGUGUGUGCGUGUGCGACUGAGUUCCUCUUUAUGACCAUCUUCAUUACAGUACAAUUGCUAACAUGCAUUGGUCAAAGUAGCCUUGUGGCUAGAGUCAGUGAAAUAGAAGUGUAAUGUGGACCAAACUGUGAAUCAUUUUUCAUUGCUUUCACACAAAAUGCAUUCAAUGACCACAUUCUCCGAAAUCCAUGAACCCUUUUGUCAUUCGUACUCCGCCACCUGCAAAACUAUAUAUUUGCAGCACAUGUUUUCAAAUGCUAACACACUGUUUCCAAAACUGUUAAAACACACAUUCAGAACAGAACGAUGGCAAAUUUCUUGCAUGUCUGCAGUUACCAGAUUGAACUAUAUAGAAAAUCUCAGCAGAAUAUAUAAUCAUUCCAAACACAGCUGAUUGCAAUUUCAGCUGAAAGCCUACACAAGUGUCCUGGAGUUAGUCUCGUUACCAAACAGACAAAAGAGGACGGCUUCGGAAUAAUUUAGUUUGGAAACAUGGAUCAAGGAAGACAGGUUGUUGGGGAGAGAAGAGUGGCAGGGUUGAAUUAGACAUUCCAGAAGACACUUUCCAAGAUGCAUCGCCAGAGAAGACAUAAGAUGUGAUGUUGAUGAGAACUUGUGGCCAAAUGCAAGAGCGAGGGAGAACUAGAACCCUCACAGUACUGUACAGUACGAGUGAUUAUACUAUACAUUUUGUUGAUGGGGUUUUUUGUAAUUAUUAUUGCCGCCCUGGAAUUUCACGAAUUCGUUUUUUUUGUUUCAGCUUUUAAUUUUUCACAAGUAAAUUACUGUAUGUGUCACGUUCUGACCUUUUUAUUUCCUUUGUUUUGUAUUUAUUUAGUUGGUAUGGGUGUGAGUUGGGGUGGGCAGUCUGUUUUGCGUUUCUAUGUUUUUCUAUUUCUGUGUUCGGCUUAGUAUGGUUCUCAAUCAGAGGCAGGUGUCUUUAGUUGUCUCUGAUUGAUAAUCAUACUGAGGUAGCCUGGGUUUCACUGUAGGUUUGUUGGUGUUUGUUUCCUGUGUCAGUGUUUGUGCCACAUGGGACUGUUUCGGUUUGGUUAUUUCACAUAUUAGUUUGUUUUUGUAUUUCAUAGUGUUCAGUGCUUUUCUUAUUAAAGUCGUCAUGAACACUU